CCUACGGGUGGCUGCAGUGGGGAAUAUUCCGCAAUGGGGGCAACUCUGACGCAGCAACGCCGCGUGAUUGAAGACGGCCUUCGGGUCGUAAAGCUCUUUAAUCGGGGACGAAUUUUGACGGUACCCGCUGAAUAAGCUCCGGCUAACUACGUGCCAGCAGCCGCGGUAAUACGUAGGGAGCAAGCGUUAUCCGGAUUUACUGGGUGUAAAGGGCGUGUAGGCGGGCACGCAAGUCAGAAGUGAAAGCUGGGGGCUUAACCCCGAAAGUGCAUUUGGAACUGGGGGUCUUGAGUGAUGGAGAGGCAGGCGGAAUUCCCAGUGUAGCGGUGAAAUGCGUAGAUAUUGGGAGGAACACCAGUGGCGAAGGCGGCCUGCUGGACAUUAACUGACGCUGAGGCGCGAAAGCGUGGGGAGCAAACAGGAUUAGAUACCCUAGUAGUC
This 441-nucleotide ribosomal RNA is filed under the name uncultured bacterium. RNAcentral describes it as "partial 16S ribosomal RNA". It matches the Rfam family "Bacterial small subunit ribosomal RNA", at positions 338 to 795 of the family's 1533-position model. The record is from RNAcentral.